RNAcentral lists this ribosomal RNA (464 nucleotides) under uncultured bacterium. RNAcentral's name for it is "partial 16S ribosomal RNA". It matches the Rfam family "Bacterial small subunit ribosomal RNA", at positions 28 to 507 of the family's 1533-position model. The record is from RNAcentral.
GACGAACGCUGGCGGCGUGCUUAACACAUGCAAGUCGAACGGAAAGGCCCCUUUGGGGGUACUCGAGUGGCGAACGGGUGAGUAACACGUGAGUAACCUGCCCUUGACUUCGGGAUAACUUCAGGAAACUGGGGCUAAUACCGGAUAGGAAUCCUUGCUGCAUGGUGGGGGUUGGAAAGCUUCGGCGGUUUUGGAUGGACUCGCGGCUUAUCAGCUUGUUGGUGGGGUAGUGGCUUACCAAGGCUUUGACGGGUAGCCGGCCUGAGAGGGCGACCGGCCACAUUGGGAGUGAGAUACGGCCCAGAUGCCUCCGGGAGGCAGCAGUGGGGGAUAGUGCACAAUGGGCGGAAGCCUGAUGCAGCGACGCCGCGUGGGGGAUGACGGGCUUCGGGUUGUAAACGACUUUCGACAGGGACGAAGCGUAAGUGACGGUACCUGUAUAAGAAGCACCGGCUAACUACGUG